CGGGGCGUAGCGCAGCCUGGUAGCGCACUUCACUGGGGGUGAAGGGGUCGUGAGUUCGAAUCUCGCCGCCCCGACCA
Molecule: transfer RNA, 77 nt
Filed under: Alphaproteobacteria bacterium
Lineage: Bacteria; Pseudomonadati; Pseudomonadota; Alphaproteobacteria
Also listed under: 1 other name
Description: tRNA-Pro
Rfam family: tRNA
About the family: Transfer RNA (tRNA) molecules are approximately 80 nucleotides in length. Their secondary structure includes four short double-helical elements and three loops (D, anti-codon, and T loops).
Source: RNAcentral